AGAGUUUGAUCCUGGCUCAGAAUCAACGCUGGCGGCGUGCCUAACACAUGCAAGUUGAGCGCUUGAGGGGGCAACCCCAAGAGAGCAGCGAACGGGUGAGUAACGCGUGGGUGAUCAACCUUCGAGUGGGGAACAACAGCGGGAAACUGCUGCUAAUUCCGCAUGACAUCCUCGGUUCGUUGGCUUGAAGAUCAAAGCCGGGGACCUUCGGGCCUGGCGCUUGAAGACGAGCCCGCGUCCGAUUAGCUUGUUGGCGGGGUAAUGGCCCACCAAGGCAACGAUCGGUAGCCGGCCUGAGAGGGCGGACGGCCACACUGGGACUGAGACACGGCCCAGACUCCUACGGGAGGCAGCAGUGGGGAAUUUUUCGCAAUGGGGGAAACCCUGACGAAGCAACGCCGCGUGGAGGAUGAAGGCCCUCGGGUCGUAAACUCCUGUCAAUCGGGAAGAAUGCACUCAACCUAACACGUUGAGUUGUUGACUGUACCGGUGGAGGAAGCUCCGGCUAACUCUGUGCCAGCAGCCGCGGUAAUACAGAGGGAGCAAGCGUUGUUCGGAAUUACUGGGCGUAAAGGGCGCGUAGGCGGCCUGGUAAGUCUCGCGUGAAAUCCCUCGGCUCAACUGAGGAACUGCGCGGGAAACUGCCCGGCUUGAGUUCGGGAGAGGGAAGCGGAAUUCCGGGUGUAGCGGUGAAAUGCGUAGAUAUCCGGAGGAACACCAGUGGCGAAGGCGGCUUCCUGGACCGACACUGACGCUGAGGCGCGAAAGCUAGGGUAGCAAACGGGAUUAGAUACCCCGGUAGUCCUAGCUGUAAACGAUGAGUGCUGGGUGUCGGCGGUCUAUAAUCCGUCGGUGCCGGCGCUAACGCAGUAAGUGCCCCGCCUGGGGAGUACGGUCGCAAGGCUGAAACUCAAACGAAUUGACGGGGGCCCGCACAAGCGGUGGAGCAUGUGGUUUAAUUCGACGCAACGCGAAGAACCUUACCUAGGUUUGACAUGGACGUGAUCGCCGGUGAAAGCCGGUUUCCUUUCGGGGCACGUUCACAGGUGCUGCAUGGCUGUCGUCAGCUCGUGUCGUGAGAUGUUGGGUUAAGUCCCGCAACGAGCGCAACCCUUGCCCUCUGUUGCUACCGGGUCAUGCCGGGCACUCUGAGGGGACUGCCUCGGUUAACGGGGAGGAAGGUGGGGAUGACGUCAAGUCCUCAUGGCCUUUAUGCCUAGGGCUACACACGUGCUACAAUGGUCAGUUACAGAGCGAUCCGAAGCCGCGAGGUGGGGGAAAUCGCAGAAAACACUCCUCAGUUCGGAUUGCAGGCUGCAACUCGCCUGCAUGAAGUUGGAAUCGCUAGUAAUCGCGUAUCAGCUACGACGCGGUGAAUAUGUUCCUGAGCCUUGUACACACCGCCCGUCAAGUCAUGGAAGCUGGUAGUACCCGAAGUCCGCUUAGCUAACCGCAAGGAGGCGGCGGCCGACGGUAAGACUGGUGACUGGGACUAAGUCGUAACAAGGUAGCCGUAGGAGAACCUGCGGCUGGAUCACCUCCUU
RNAcentral lists this ribosomal RNA (1544 nucleotides) under uncultured prokaryote. Its description in RNAcentral is "partial 16S ribosomal RNA". It matches the Rfam family "Bacterial small subunit ribosomal RNA". The record is from RNAcentral.